AGAACGAACGCUGGCGGCAUGCCUAACACAUGCAAGUCGAACGCCCCGCAAGGGGAGUGGCGAACGGGUGAGUAACGCGUGGGAACCUACCCAGCAGUUGGGGAUAACCGCGGGAAACUGCGGCUAAUACCGAAUACGUCCUGAGGGAGAAAGAUUUAUCGCUGUUGGAGGGCCCGCGUCGGAUUAGCUAGUUGGUGAGGUAAUGGCUCACCAAGGCAUCGAUCCGUAGCUGGUCUGAGAGGAUGAUCAGCCACACUGGACUUAGACACGGCCCAGACUCCUACGGGAGGCAGCAGGUGGGAAUAGUUGGACGAAGUGGGGGCCAACCCGUGACUCCAGCAAGUCGCCGCGUGAGUGAUGAAGGUCCGUUAGGGUUAGUAAGUCUUCGUUUUACCGGGACGAUGAUGGACCGGUACCGGAG
This 421-nucleotide ribosomal RNA is filed under the name uncultured soil bacterium. RNAcentral describes it as "bacterial SSU rRNA". It matches the Rfam family "Bacterial small subunit ribosomal RNA", at positions 26 to 483 of the family's 1533-position model. The record is from RNAcentral.